Molecule: ribosomal RNA, 465 nt
Filed under: Vreelandella stevensii
Lineage: Bacteria; Pseudomonadati; Pseudomonadota; Gammaproteobacteria; Oceanospirillales; Halomonadaceae
Description: partial 16S ribosomal RNA
Rfam family: Bacterial small subunit ribosomal RNA
Source: RNAcentral
CCUACGGGGGGCUGCAGUGGGGAAUAUUGGACAAUGGGCGAAAGCCUGAUCCAGCCAUGCCGCGUGUGUGAAGAAGGCCUUCGGGUUGUAAAGCACUUUCAGUGGGGAAGAAAGCCUUGGGGCUAAUACCCUCGAGGAAGGACAUCACCCACAGAAGAAGCACCGGCUAACUCCGUGCCAGCAGCCGCGGUAAUACGGAGGGUGCGAGCGUUAAUCGGAAUUACUGGGCGUAAAGCGCGCGUAGGCGGUCUGAUAAGCCGGUUGUGAAAGCCCCGGGCUCAACCUGGGAACGGCAUCCGGAACUGUCAGGCUAGAGUGCAGGAGAGGAAGGUAGAAUUCCCGGUGUAGCGGUGAAAUGCGUAGAGAUCGGGAGGAAUACCAGUGGCGAAGGUGGCCUUCUGGACUGACACUGACGCUGAGGUGCGAAAGCGUGGGUAGCAAACAGGAUUAGAUACCCUUGUAGUC